Sander lucioperca (pikeperch) is the source of this 179-nucleotide long non-coding RNA. RefSeq lists it as uncharacterized. The record is from RefSeq and is a predicted model, not a curated record. Lineage: Eukaryota; Metazoa; Chordata; Actinopteri; Perciformes; Percidae. The transcript has 3 exons.
AUGGACUUGGCAGUGCUGCUGCAGCGACAGUCCCACCCAGACACUUGAAAAAAGAUGCAGAGAGACUGAAAGCGGGGAGGAAAAAGGUUCGAACAAUUCAGAGUUCACCAGCAGUAAAAUAGACGUUUGUGUGAAGAUCCACCCACUGACUAGGGAGAAGCAGAGAAAACACUUGUCGA